CGCUAUGCACUCCUACGGGAGGCAGCAGUGGGGAAUAUUGCACAAUGGGGGAAACCCUGAUGCAGCCAUGCCGCGUGUGUGAAGAAGGCCUUCGGGUUGUAAAGCACUUUCAGUAGGGAGGAAGGUAGUGUAGUUAACACCUGCAUUAUUUGACGUUACCUACAGAAGAAGCACCGGCUAACUCCGUGCCAGCAGCCGCGGUAAUACGGAGGGUGCGAGCGUUAAUCGGAAUUACUGGGCGUAAAGCGCAUGCAGGCGGCCUGUUAAGUCAGAUGUGAAAGCCCGGGGCUUAACCUCGGAAUUGCAUUUGAAACUGGCAGGCUAGAGUCUUGUAGAGGGGGUAGAAUUUCAGGUGUAGCGGUGAAAUGCGUAGAGAUCUGAAGGAAUACCAGUGGCGAAGGCGGCCCCCUGGACAAAGACUGACGCUCAGAUGCGAAAGCGUGGGGAGCAAACAGGAUUAGAUACCCUGGUAG
RNAcentral lists this ribosomal RNA (473 nucleotides) under uncultured bacterium. RNAcentral's name for it is "bacterial SSU rRNA". It matches the Rfam family "Bacterial small subunit ribosomal RNA", at positions 327 to 793 of the family's 1533-position model. The record is from RNAcentral.